This 165-nucleotide non-coding RNA is filed under the name Clostridium paraputrificum. The record is from RNAcentral. Lineage: Bacteria; Bacillati; Bacillota; Clostridia; Eubacteriales; Clostridiaceae.
UAUCGUGAGGUAGAAUCUGAAGGAAGUCGGCGGCAAACCUUUGGUCUGAGGAACACGAAUCACAUGAGGCUUAAUUUAGUGGGUAAGCUUGCCUAACAAAGCAAAGCCCAAUAACUAUCCGAAAACUAAUUAAGUAAAUGUGGCAGAUAGAUGAAUGGAAAGUGU